UGAGUCCCGCAGAUCAUGCAAGCAAGCAGUUGCAAUGUCUAGCAUGCAAGCCCAAUUUUACUACUUCUCAUGAGACAACAUCAUACCUUGGGUUGUUGCUUGGGUUUGGUGCUGCCCAGGUGUGCAGCCAUGGCAUGAGGAGCGUGGUCGCGAUGGUGAAGUCCUAUGUUGCCAAGUUGCCAUAGAACUCGGCAAAGUCGUCAUAUUUCAUUCCACUGACGGCCAGGAAUUCCUCAAACGCUUUGGUGGCCUUACAGGGUGUUUCCACUUGGCCGAACACUAACACUAAGUUUGAAUGUUCUUCGUCCUGGACUCGUCUCUCGCCGUUCUAAAUGCAUAUAUUGAUACUACUAAUGAUAGUAGGAAAUAUUCAUCAAACAAAUUGGAGGUUGGGGCACUCCUGGCGGAGAACCGUAAGGCCUAGUGGAAACACCCCGUACACUAAGUCCACACUAGCGCACACUAAAGUUAAUUGGACCUCAGACCUGCCAUUAACUAUAGUACCUAGCACUAACUAUUUGGCGGGCAACUUUUAUGAGCUGGAUUGUCCCUUCUGACCAUAGACUUUAGACGUAAGCAGCUAUCUUUUUUCCUUCCUGCAAACUCCGCGUUGACUUGCGCACGCCCAACACCGACAGCCUCAGAACACCGCCAUUUUGCAAUGGAGCCCUCCUUCAAUAACGUUCAGCAAACAUAUACCGCUAGUUUGCCUUCCUUCGCUGGCCGGCGGUUGCCAAUGCACCAUGCGGACUUCAUGGCGGACAUCAUGACGCAGGCUGCGCCGCAGCGGAUCUUAAAUACGCGAAUUCUUACAGACCUUGGCAAUUAUCAGCAAUUAAUCCCUGGCGCUAAAACGUUCAAAAUACGAAAACAAUUUUGGUUUCGGCGCUCCUUAGUGCCGCUAGUGGAAACACCGUCACACUAAGUCCACACUAGCACAUAGUGUACCGAAGAUAGUGUUAGGACAAGUGGAAACACCCUGUUAUCACCAGCAGCACUGCAAACGUUGCUGGGCACGUUUAAAAUGUACCGCUCAUCUGAUGAACCAGUGCAAUGGCUGAUGAUGCCACUCACUUGUCAUUCGUUGG
RNAcentral lists this long non-coding RNA (1088 nucleotides) under Volvox carteri. Its description in RNAcentral is "long non-coding RNA (VCAR_LNC001148)". The record is from RNAcentral. Lineage: Eukaryota; Viridiplantae; Chlorophyta; Chlorophyceae; Chlamydomonadales; Volvocaceae.